This 5757-nucleotide long non-coding RNA is filed under the name Triticum aestivum (bread wheat). Its description in RNAcentral is "long non-coding RNA (TAES_LNC024560)". The record is from RNAcentral. Lineage: Eukaryota; Viridiplantae; Streptophyta; Magnoliopsida; Poales; Poaceae.
GAGUGUUGUGUGUUUUUUUGUGAUUUUUCGUGGUUUAUUUGGACAUUUUUAUGCAUUAACUGAGUUUUCAAUGCAUUUUAUGUGCAUAAUACAAAUUUGAACUACAUGCACAUGCUCCAGUGCAUAUAAAUUGGUUGAAAAAUCAAAUCUGUGUACUUGGGUGCAUGCUUAGGUCCCUUGCAAGAAAUGGGAAUGAAUUUCAAACACCGGGGCACCGUUGAUUGCCGGCAAAACAUUGAGAUGCCUGGUUUUUAAAUUCUAGUAAAUCCAAAACUCAUCGGAAAUUCAUGAAACUUGGCAUGCUAUCAUGGAGCGGCAUCAACAUGCCGUGGUACAAAGUUUGUCCCAUUUGGGACAAGUUUGGGUAUAUGCUUCUCACAAACCGGAGCUUCUCACAACAAGCAUGAUGGUUUUCGGUAGGGAACGUCCCACCUUUGGGGACGAAACGAUAUCCAUUGCCUCUUAUUGCUUCCAAAUUUUAUUUCUCGUGUCAACAUAGAACAAGAGGAGUGUUGUCUGAUUUUUUUUUGAUUUUUCGGGGUUCGUUUGGACAUUUUUAUGCAUUAACUGAGUUUUCAACGCAUUUUAUGUGCAUAAUUCAAAUUUGAACUACAUGCACAUGCUCCAGUGCAUACAAAUUGGUUGAAAAAUCAAAUCUGUGUCCUUGGGUGAAUGCUUAGGUCCCAUGCAAUAAAUGGGAAUGAAUUUCAAACACCGGGGCACCGUUGAUUGCCGGCAAAACAUUGAGAUGCCUUGUUUCUAAAUUCUAGUAAAUCCAAAACUCGUCUAAAAUUCAUGAAACUUUGCAUGCUAACAUGGAGCGGCAUCAACAUGUCGUGGUAUAAAUUUAUUCCCAUUUGGGGCAAGUUUGGGUAUAUGCUUCUCACAAACUGGAGCUUCUGACAACAAGCAUGAUGGUUUUCGGUAGAGAACGUCCCACCUUUGGGGACGAAACGAUAUCCAUUGCCUCUUAUUGCUUUCAAAUUUCUUUCUCGUGUGAACAUAGAACAACAGGAGUGUUGUGUGAUUUUUUGUGAUUUUUCGGGGUUCGUUUGGACAUUUUUAUGCAUUAACUGAGUUUUCAACGCAUUUUAUGUGCAUAAUACAAAUUUGAACUACAUGCACAUGCUCCAGUGCAUAUAAAUUGGUUGAAAAAUCAAAUAUGUGUCCUUGAGUGCAUGCUUAGGUCCCAUGCAAUAAAUGGGAAUGAAUUUCAAACACCGGGGCACCGUUGAUUGCCGGCAAAACAUUGAGAUGCCUUGUUUUUAAAUUCUAGUAAAUGCAAAACUCGUCUAAAAUUCAUGAAACUUUGCAUGCUAUCAUGGAGCGGCAUCAACAUGUCGUGGUACAAAUUUUAUCCCAUUUGGGGCAGGUUUGGGUAUAUGCUUCUCACAAACCGGAGCUUGUCACAACAAGCAUGAUGGUUUUCGGUAGGGAACGUCCCACCUUUUGUGACGAAAUGAUAUCCAUUGCCUCUUGUUGCUUUCAAAUUUUUCUCUCGUGUCAACAUAGAACAACAGGAGUGUUGUGUGAAUUUUUUUCGAUUUUCCGGGGUUCGUUUGGACAUUUUUAUGCAUUAACUGAGUUUUCAACGCAUUUUAUGUGCAUAAUUCAAAUUUCAACUACAUGCACAUGCUCCAGUGCAUAUAAAUUGGUUGAAAAAUCGAAUAUGUGUCCUUGGGUGCAUGCUUAGGUCCCAUGCAAGAAAUGGGAAUGAAUUUCAAAUAUCGGGGCACCGUUGAUUGCCGGCAAAACACUGAAAUGCCUGGUUUUUAAAUUCUAGUGAAUCCAAAACUCGUCUGAAAUUCAUGAAAUUUGGCAUGCUAUCAUGGAGCGGCAUCAACAUGCCGUGGUACAAAGUUUGUCCCAUUUGGGGCAUGUUUGGGUAUAUGCUUCUCACAAACCGGAGCUUCUCACAACAAGCAUGAUGGUUUUCGGUAGGGAACGUCCCACCUUUGGGGACGAAACGAUAUCCAUUGCCUCUUAUUCCUUUCUAAUUUUUUCUCUCGUGUCAACAUAGAACAACAGGAGUGUUGUGUGAAUUUUUUUCGAUUUUCCGGGGUUCGUUUGAACAUUUUUAUGCAUUAACUGAGUUUUCAACGCAUUUUAUGUGCAUAAUUCAAAUUUCAACUACAUGCACAUGCUCCAGUGCAUAUAAAUUGGUUGAAAAAUCAAAUAUGUGUCCUUGGGUGCAUGCUUAGGUCCCAUGCAAGAAAUGGGAAUGAAUUUCAAACACCGGGGCACCGUUGAUUGCCGGCAAAACAUUGAGAUGCCUGGUUUUUAAAUUCUAGUGAAUCCAAAACUCGUCUGAACAUGAAAUUGGGCAUGCUAUCAUGGAGCGGCAUCAACAUGCCGUGGUACAAAUUUGUCCCAUUUGGGGCAUGUUUGGGUAUAUGCUUCUCACAAACCGGAGCUUCUCACAACAAGCAUGAUGGUUUUCGGUAGGGAACGUCCCACCUUUGGGGACGAAACGAUAUCCAUUGCCUCUUAUUCCUUUCAAAUUUUAUUUCUCGUGUCAACAUAGAACAAGAGGAGUGUUGUCUGAUUUUUUUGAUUUUUCGGGGUUCGUUUGGACAUUUUUAUGCAUUAACUGAGUUUUCAACGCAUUUUAUGUGCAUAAUUCAAAUUUGAACUACAUGCACAUGCUCCAGUGCAUAUAAAUUGGUUGAAAAAUCAAAUUUGUGUCCUUGGGUGCAUGCUUAGGUCCCAUGCAAUAAAUGGGAAUGAAUUUCAAACACCGGGGCACCGUUGAUUGCCGGCAAAACAUUGAGAUGCCUUGUUUUUAAAUUCUAGUAAAUCCAAAGCUCAUCUAAAUUUCAUGAAACUUUGCAUGCUAUCAUGGAGCGGCAUCAACAUGUCGUGGUACAAAUUUUGUCCCAUUUGGGGCAGGUUUGGGUAUAUGCUUCUCACAAACCGAAGCUUCUCGCAGCAAGCAUGAUGGUUUUCAGUAGGGAACGUCCCAGCUUUGGUGACGAAACGAUAUCCAUUGCCUCUUAUUGAUUUCAAAUUUUUCUCUCGUGUCAACAUAGAACAACACGAGUGUUGUGCGAUUUUUUCUGAUUUGUCGGGGUUCGUUUGGACAUUUUUAUGCAUUGACUGAGUUUUCAAUGCAUUUUAUGUGCAUAAUUCAAAUUUCAACUACAUGCACAUGCUCGAGUGCAUGUAAAUUGGUUGAAAAAUCAAAUCUGUGUCCUUGGGUGCAUGCUUAGGUCCCAUGCAAUAAAUGGGAAUGAAUUUCAAACACCGGGGCACCGUUGAUUGCCGGCAAAACAUUGAGAUGCCUUGGUUUUAAAUUCUAGUAAAUCCAAAACUCGUCUAAAAUUCAUGAAACUUUGCAUGCUAUCAUGGAGCGGCAUCAACAUGUCGUGGUAGAAAUUUGUCCCAUUUGGGGCAGGUUUGGGUAUAUGCUUCUCGAAAACCGGAGCUUCUCACAACAAGCAUGAUGGUUUUCGUUAGAGAACGUCCCACCUUUGGGGACGAAACGAUAUCCAUUGCCUCUUGUUGCUUUAAAAAAAAUCUCGUGUCAACAUAGAACAACAGGAGUGUUGUGUGAAUUUUUGUGAUUUUUCGGGGUUCGUUUGGACAUUUUUAUGCAUUAACUGAGUUUUCAAUGCAUUUUAUGUGCAUAAUUCAAAUUUGAACUACAUGCACAUGCUCCAGUGCAUAUAAAUUGGUUGAAAAAUCGAAUCUAUGUCCUUGGGUGCAUGCUUAGGUCCCAUGCAAUAAAUGGGAAUGAAUUUCAAACACCGGGGCACCGUUGAUUGCCGGCAAAACAUUGAGAUGCCUUAUUUUUCAAUUCUAGUAAAUCCAAAACUCAUCUAAAUUUCAUGAAGCUUUGCAUCUAUCAUGGAGCGGCAUCAACAUGUCGUGGUACAAAUUUUGUCCCAUUUGGGGUAGGUUUGGGUAUAUGCUUCUCACAAACCGAAGCUUCUCACAGCAAGCAUGAUGGUUUUUGGUAGGGAACGUCCCAGCUUUGGUGACGAAACGAUAGCCAUUGCCUCUUAUUGAUUUCAAAUUUUUCUCUCGUGUCAACAUAGAACAACACGAGUGUUGUGCGAUUUUUUCUGAUUUUUCGGGGUUUGUUUGGACAUUUUUAUGCAUUGGCUGAGUUUUCAAUGCAUUUUAUGUGCAUAAUUCAAAUUUCAACUACAUGCACAUGCUCGAGUGCAUAUAAAUUGGUUGAAAAUCAAAUAUGUGUCCUUGGGUGCAUGCUUAGGUCCCAUGCAAGAAAUGGGAAUGAAUUUCAAACACCGGGGCACCGUUCAUUGCCGGCAAAACAUUGAGAUGCCUGGUUUUUAAAUUCUAGUAAAUCCAAAACUCGUCUGAAAUUCAUGAAACUUGGCAUGCUAUCAUGGAGCGGCAUCAACAUGCCGUGGUACAAAUUUUGUCCCAUUUGGGGAAAGUUUGGGUAUAUGCUUCUCACAAACCGAAGCUUCUCACAACAAGCAUGAUGGUUUUCGGUAGGGAACGUCCCACCUUUGGGGACGAAACGAUAUCCAUUGCCUCUUAUUGCUUUCAAAUUUCUUUUCUCGUGUCAACAUAGAACAAUAGGAGUGUUGUGUGAUUUUUUGUGAUUUUUCGGGGUUCGUUUGGACAUUUUUAUGCAUUAACUGAGUAUUCACUGCAUUUUAUGUGCAUAAUUCAAAUUUGAACUACAUGCACAUGCUCGAGUGCAUAUAAAUUGGUUGAAAAAUCAAAUCUGUGUCCUUGGGUGCAUGCUUAGGUAACAUGCAAUAAAUGGGAAUGAAUUUCAAACACCGGGUCACCGUUGAUUGCCGGCAAAACAUUGAGAUGCCUUGUUUUUAAAUUCUAGUAAAUCCAAAACUCGUCUAAAAUUCAUGAAACUUUGCAUGCUAUCAUGGAGCGGCAUCAACAUGUCGUGGUGUAAAUUUUGUCCCAUUUGGGGCAGGUUUGGGUAUAUGCUUCUCACAAACCGGAGCUUCUCACAACAAGCAUGAUGGUUUUCGGUAGAGAACGUCCCACCUUUGGGGACGAAACGAUAUCCAUUGCCUCUUAUUGCUUUCAAAUUUUUUUCUCGUGUCAACAUAGAACAAUAGGAGUGUUGUGUGAUUUUUUGUGAUUUUUCGGGGUUCGUUUGGACAUUUUUAUGCAUUAACUGAGUUUUUAACGCAUUUUAUGUGAAUAAUUCAAAUUUGAACUACAUGCACAUGCUCCAGUGCAUAUAAAUUGGUUGAAAAAUCAAAUCUGUGUCCUUGGGUGCAUGCUUAGGUCCCGUGCAAUAAAUGGGAAUGAAUUUCAAACACCGGGGCACCGUUGAUUGCCAGCAAAACAUUGAGAUGCCUUGUUUUUAAAUUCUAGUAAAUCCAAAACUUGUCUGAAAUUCAUGAAACUUGGCAUCCUAUCAUGGAGGGCAUCAACAUGUCAUGGUAUAAAUUUCGUCCCAUUUGGGGCAGGUUUGGGUAUAUGCUUCUCACAACAAGCAUGAUGGUUUUCGGUCGAGAACGUCCCACCUUUGGGGACGAAACGAUAUCCAUUGCCUCUUAUUGCUUUCAAAUUUUUUUUCUCGUGUCAACAUAGAACAACAGGAGUGUUGUGUGUUUUUUUGUGAUUUUUCGUGGUUUAUUUGGACAUUUUUAUGCAUUAACUGAGUUUUCAAUGCAUUUUAUGUGCAUAAUACAAAUUUGAACUACAUGCACAUGCUCCAGUGCAUAUAAAUUGGUUGAAAAAUCAAAUCUGUGUAUUUGGGUGCAUGCUUAGGUCCCUUGCAAGAAAUGGGAAUGAAUUUCAAACACCGGG